UACGAAGGGGGCUAGCGUUGCUCGGAAUUACUGGGCGGAAAGCGCACGUAGGCGGAUUGUUAAGUCGGGGGUGAAAUCCUGGAGCUCAACUCCAGAACUGCCUUCGAUACUGGCGAUCUCGAGUUCGGGAGAGGUGAGUGGAACUGCGAGUGUAGAGGUGAAAUUCGUAGAUAUUCGCAAGAACACCAGUGGCGAAGGCGGCUCACUGGCCCGAUACUGACGCUGAGGUGCGAAAGCGUGGGGAGCAAACAGG
This 253-nucleotide ribosomal RNA is filed under the name uncultured bacterium. Its description in RNAcentral is "partial 16S ribosomal RNA". It matches the Rfam family "Bacterial small subunit ribosomal RNA", at positions 524 to 776 of the family's 1533-position model. The record is from RNAcentral.